Clupea harengus (Atlantic herring) is the source of this 1645-nucleotide long non-coding RNA. NCBI's taxonomy places the organism in Eukaryota, Metazoa, Chordata, Actinopteri, Clupeiformes, Clupeidae. The record is from Ensembl.
CCCACCCCCCACCCCCCACUGUCCCCCGCUCCAGUCCCCAGAGACAGAUGGGUGUGUCCCAGGCAGAAGUAAGCUGUGCAGUGCUGUCUGGGACACAUUAGCUGAUGUAGAUACUAUCUGGGCCAGAGCUGGACCUGUUGGAGAGUCAGCGGCUAACAGAUAACUCCACCUUCCUUCCUUCUCACCAGCCAGACUUCUGCCAAAGUGUGUGUGUGUGCGUGUGUAUGUGAUGUGUGUAUGUGAUGCGUGUGUGUGCAAUGCGUGAAUGUGUGGUGUGUGUGUGUGAGUGUGUGGCUGACUCUGAAACAGCCCAGAUCCAGCCUGGCCUCCACUGCUGUCUCAGCUGGUGCUGUUGGGUCGCUGGGUAUCAGACAUGACCCUACAUAAAGCCAGCUCCAACGGCGACUUCCUUCUCCACAGUGCUGUGGUUUGGCCUUUUCAAUGAGUAUUGAAAACUGUGAACGGUCUCAUCUCCUACUUCCUUCUCUGGCAUCAGAAUUGUGUUGUUUAUGUUGAAUGUGAAGCUGCUGAUUGGUGUGUAAAAGAUGACUCUCACGUGUGUGUGUUUUAGGAUUCCUGAUUACGAGAGAUGCUUCUCUGGGACUUCUGUUUUUAUUUUAGUUUUUUUUAAAUGGGGACCUUUUUGUGUUGGGUAACAAUCAGUCCUGUGAUUGUGUUUCAGCCUCUGAUGCUGUCUGUGUCGGGCUCUGAGACUUGGGCCUGUUAUUUUGGCUUAGGUCAGCCAGAAUCCAGACCUUACAUGAUCGGUUCUUUUUUUUGUUUGUUUUUUUUGGAAAAGAAAGUAUUUAGCGUAUUCAGUGUAAUACUGGUCGACUUGGGUAACACAUAGGUGUUUCUACACAUUUCACACCACCUGAUUGUAACCAAGUGCUUAAAGGUGGCAAUCCAGUGCUGUCUCUAUGUGAAAAAAAAACGAACAAAAAAUACCCAACCCUUAUUCAUAAUCACUCCAUGUGUAUUGGUGUUACAAAAUUUCCUUUCAAUAACAAUUUGCUGCAGGGGUGGAGAUCCCAGUGGUUUGUGAAGGUAGGCUACUGUUGCAUCUCACUCUGGAUGUAUAUUAUAGCAAUGAAACCGCCAGAGGCUGCAGUGGUUCAGCGUAGACACCAUGCUUCAUUUAAAACACUAGCUAACUAAUCCUGCAGAGGGCGCUCUUGUGACGAGAGCUGUGCUGGGAUACAUCAAGUAUAAAUAAUAUCAUCAGCAUCUUAAUUAGACUAAUUCAUCAGUGAAUUUAACAGGAGUAACAGGUCACUGUCACUAUCACUGAGCAUUGUGCAUAUUUAAGCAUAACCCAUUGUAAUUAUUAUCAUACUGACAUUGUGUAAUAUAUGUACUGUUGCCUCACCAACUCUGAGAGGACUGUUUCUCAGUCGUAUUCAGCCACUUGGAACAGGAACGUCACUCACGCGGCAGACAGCGCAACCAUGGAAACGCAUCUCGGACCACGGCCGCCGCUGCCGACCGAUGUCUUUUGUUGAAAUGUUCUGAAGUCCAGUUCAAUGGCAGUACUUCCAUUUACUGUGCUCUCAUCCGCACAUUCCUUAUACUUUAUAAUGUUGUGAAACAUGUCCUACAUCCUGUUCUCUUUCAAUACAUUGUUCUAAUAAAAUGUAUGUUAAAG